RNAcentral lists this long non-coding RNA (1037 nucleotides) under Mytilus galloprovincialis (Mediterranean mussel). Lineage: Eukaryota; Metazoa; Mollusca; Bivalvia; Mytilida; Mytilidae. The record is from RNAcentral.
GUCAGUGGUAUUCUGUAGUAAAAUGUAUGUGUUUAACAACUACAUAUAUGAGCAGCUAAAUUAAUUGAGGUAAUUAAACAAAUGGUGUAAGGGGUACAAACUACGAUAUAUAUAAAAAAUAAGAUAAGAAUCAUUGGCCUCAUUGCAUCUAUGUUCACGUGACCUUCAAUUUAACCCCUUAGCUAGAGAUAGAUAACGCAUGAAUUAUGUCUGUUCGGUUAUUAAAAGGAAAAGAAUGUCGACAUUGAAAGUGAAACAAAGGUUAAUCAUUUGAUUGACUGAUUCGAUCAACAAAAACUCAUUCUUAUAAAGGUACAAACGAUUAUUAACACAUAUUUUAAACCUAUAAUAUAAAAUUUAACAGAGAAAAAUCUAAUUGUACGAGUUCGUUAUCUAAUUGUAUCUAUAUUUUUGUUUAUAUCGCUUAUAUGUCAGCCGUCUUCGGGGUCAACCCAAUAGUUAAUUAGCUGGCGUCUAGACUAAAAUACACACGCAACGAUCAUUCCUAUUAUCGAGUCAAUGCCUUGUAAAUUGUUUAUUUUAGACGUUUUAGUAUGAUAUAAGUCAAAUAGGAGAAUGUGAGUCAAAUCGCUAAACAUGAAUUUGACAGACAAUGCCCCUUUAAAGCCUGGCCCAAACCCUAAAUGUAAACAAAAACCAUACAAUACAACAUAGUUUGCAUGAAUCGAUUAUGGUAAGUACGUUUAUAGGAAUGAUAUUUACGUAACUUCAAAUAAUCUUAUGCAAAUCUUCGUUUCAUUCACAUUCAAGUAAAUAAAACAGAUACUAAGAUCCUUUCAAUAUUAUAUGUUUUCUUAAGUCAUCUUCUUUGCAGUUUGUCAUGCAGUACGGGGCGCCGAAUGGGACUCUUGUGGUUUUGUACAAAAUUCAAUUCUGUCAUAGCAAAAUCAUUUUUGUCUUACAAAACUAUGUGCUACAGACUUGUUUUGUGAGAACUUCAAUUUUGUGAUGACAAAAUUCAUUUGUGUAGACAAAAUUCAUUUUUGUCAUGACAAAAUUCAUUUUUGUAGACAAAA